GAUGAACGCUAGCUACAGGCUUAACACAUGCAAGUCGUGGGGCAUCAUGAUGUAGUAAUACAUUGAUGGCGACCGGCGCACGGGUGAGUAACGCGUAUCCAACCUACCCUCCACUCAAGUAUAGGCUUCCGAAAGGGAGAUUAAUCCUUGAUAUCGUCAUUCUCUCUCCUGUUAGAAUGAUAAAAGGACAUCGUUUCGGUAGAGGAUGGGGAUGCGUUCCAUUAGGUAGUAGGUGGUUUAACAGGCCACCUAGCCGAUGAUGGAUAGGGGUUCUGAGAGGAAUAUCCCCCACACUGGUACUGAGAUACGGACCAGACUCCUACGGGAGGCAGCAGUGAGGAAUAUUGGUCAAUGGGCGCAAGCCUGAACCAGCCAUGUAGCGUGAAGGAUGACGGUUUUUUUGAUUGUAAACUUCUUUUCUGUGCGAUUAAAGUGUGGCAUUUAUGCCAUAAUG
Molecule: ribosomal RNA, 454 nt
Filed under: Bacteroidetes bacterium oral taxon 272
Lineage: Bacteria; Pseudomonadati; Bacteroidota
Description: bacterial SSU rRNA
Rfam family: Bacterial small subunit ribosomal RNA
Source: RNAcentral